UGAAGGAUGCGUAGGAUGAGCUAAAUUUGUUUGUUCCUUUCUUUCUCGGAACCGCAGCUCGAGGCUGGGCAGGCAGCUGUCUCGCCCUCCCGUGAGCCCCGUGCAGGCACCAGCAUGCUCGGAGGUUGGCUCUCAGGACUCGGAUUCCUUGUCUGGGCCCUUCCUGCUGUGGGCGGCCUCCAGCACCCCAGGAAUCCGGGGCUAGAAUCCUGGGCCAGGGGGCGGGGGGUAGAAAUGUGGAGCCACUUACCCCAGACCCGGGGUGAAAUCAUCACCUUUUAAAAGCAGGCGAGCAGAGCUGCAGAACGCAGAUGCCCGGGCCUGGGGACAGCGACGUGGGCCACACCCUGGAAAACCACAGCAGUGCCGGCCGCCCCCGCUUUCACUGCUCAGACCUGUGGGAAACUUGUAAGACACACGCCGCGUGGGGAGGGGCCGCGGCAUCCCAGGCCCCGCUGGCUUGGCAGAGUCCCUGCCCGGAAUUGUCUGUUUUCGGAAAGCCUUGCCGGGCCACAGCCGGCCCGGCCGCACGCACGGCUGCGGUGGUUUUUCAGAAGUGCUUUGGGAGACUUUCGAAAGGUACCCCGGGGUGGGGAAGUGAAAGGCGGGGGGGCCGGGUUAGAAACUGCUUCUUUAUUUCUGGCCUCGCCUGAGCGGCUGCCUGACGGUUACUGCUCGGGUUCUGCUGAGUCAGAAGCAUCCCCCAGCUGCUCACCGGAAACACAGCUGCUGGGCGAAAAUAACCACAGCGCGGAGCAUCGGAGCAUCGUGCACCUUCCAGAAAAGAGGGCAGAAAACCUCAAAACAAAAGAGAAAAGCACAAAACAAGAGGUGCUGUCGAAAACGCACGGCGGCUCACGGAGCCAAAGCCCACGGCUCUCCUUGUCGCCCACAGCGGGAGGAGGAGCGAGCGCUAACUGCUUCUCCCCUGCUCCCUGCCCAGGCCCUAAACCCCGGGGCCUGCAGAUGUGACCGCAUCUGGAAAAGGGGUCUUUGCAGGUGUACUUAACCUAAGGAGCUCAACAUGAGGCCAUCCUGCAUUGCCUGGUGGGCCCUGCAUCCAAACACAGGCGUCCGUCCCUGUAAGAGUGAGGCAGGAGGUGAGACGCACAGAGGGAAAGACCAGGUGGAGACGGAGGCCGGCAUUGGAGGAGAGCACGCCUGACGAUGACGCCAAAACCAAGGAGAGCAGAGGGGAGAGAUAGAGAUUCGUGAUGACGUGGUUUGAGUUCCUGGAAGCAGCAGUGCCUGAAACCAUCAGUUCCUCCCAACUUCCCAGGCAAUACAUGCUCUUCGUGCUCAAGAUAAUCUGAGUUGGUCACUUUUGAACAAAGGCCUCCAGACUCCCACAAUAUCUUAUGUGAUAAUCUCAGCAAGUCAAGGAGGAACGCAUCUGAUUAUUCCCAUUUUGUGAGAAGAAAUUGAGGCUUAAAGACAUUUAAUCACUUGCUCAAAAUUGCACUGCUAGUAAGUGGCAGAGCUGUGAUUUGAACCUGGGGCUGUGAUCUGAUCUCCUGAGCCCCCGGAAGGCAAAGGAGGAUGUGGUUCAUGCCCCUAGGCCUUGGGGUCAUGCCUUGGGAAAGUCACAUGAGUCUCAAGGCCUGUGUGGCUCAUCCGUAAAAUAACAGAGUUGGUGUGUUUUUAAGCUGUUAAAAAUCUGUAUGAGUACAAAGGUUACGAUGACAAUGAACCAGGUGUUCUCAGUCCAUAACUGACAGAGGUUAGCAUGUGUCAUGCUUGCCUCAGAGACAAGAUGAUUUCUGAACAGCCAUACAGUUCCUGUCUCUGUAUCUGGAUUCUGGAUUCUGAAAUGCCAAGGAGGUCUGACUCUGGGUAACUUGGAUUUAAAAGCAAGAAUACAAAAGUCUUUUCUACCGAUCCACAUAUUUACAAUUUCUGGCAUUUUUCAUUCCUUGUGUAGAUCUGAGUCUCCUGGCAUCAUUUUUUUCUUCAGCCUGGAAAGAACUUCUCUUAAUAUUUCUUAUAGUGCAAGUCUGAUGGUCACAAAUUCUACCACCUCUUGUUUGUCUGGAGAGCAUUUUUAUUUCGCCUUCGUAUUUUAAGGAUACUUUCACUGGAUAUAGACUCUUGGUUGCAAGUUGUUAUUUUAUUUUAUUUUUAAUACAACCAACUAAGAAUGUCAUUCCAUUGUCUUAUGGCUUGCAUUGCUUUUAAGGAAAAAUUAGCGAUUUCUUAUUUGUGUGCAUAAUAUGUGAUACAUCAUUUUAUCUUGGCUGCUUUUAAGAUUUUCUCUUCAUUGCUGAAUUUCAGUAAUUUGAUUUUGUUUUCUUUGGGUUAACCUGCCUCAAAUUUGUUGAUUUCUUAGAUCUGUAGUUUUCUAGUUUUCAUCAGUUUUGGAACAUCUUCAGCCAUUAUAAUUUCAGGCAUUGUUUUUGCCCUCCUUUCCUACUUGGAUUCUAAUUACAAUGUAGGGUCAACCAUGUAAUAUUGUUGCAAAGAGCUCGAAUACUGUGAUCAUUUUUUCUAAUGUAAUUAUUUCCUUUUGAAUACUUUUGAAUAGUUUCUAUUACUAUAUUAUCAUGUGUAUUAAUUUUUUGCUCCUGCAAUCUUUAAUAUGCAGUUAAACCUAUCCAGUAAAAUUUUCAUUUUAGAUACUGUA
Molecule: long non-coding RNA, 2620 nt
Organism: Eptesicus fuscus (big brown bat)
Lineage: Eukaryota; Metazoa; Chordata; Mammalia; Chiroptera; Vespertilionidae
Exons: 2
Source: RefSeq, a predicted model, not a curated record